UACGGAGGGUGCAAGCGUUAAUCGGAAUUACUGGGCGUAAAGCGUGCGUAGGUGGUUUGUUAAGUCAGAUGUGAAAGCCCUGGGCUCAACCUGGGAACUGCAUUUGAUACUGGCAGGCUAGAGUGCGGUAGAGGGUAGCGGAAUUCCCGGUGUAGCAGUGAAAUGCGUGGAUAUCGGGAGGAACAUUCGUGGCGAAGGCGGCUACCUGGACCAGCACUGACACUGAGGCACGAAAGCGUGGGUAGCAAACAGG
This 253-nucleotide unclassified non-coding RNA is filed under the name uncultured Rhodanobacteraceae bacterium. RNAcentral's name for it is "contains 16S-23S intergenic spacer region". It matches the Rfam family "Bacterial small subunit ribosomal RNA", at positions 524 to 776 of the family's 1533-position model. Lineage: Bacteria; Pseudomonadati; Pseudomonadota; Gammaproteobacteria; Lysobacterales; Rhodanobacteraceae. The record is from RNAcentral.